AUGCUUAACACAUGCAAGUCGAACGGAAACGACACUAACAAUCCUUCGGGUGCGUUAAUGGGCGUCGAGCGGCGGACGGGUGAGUAAUGCCUAGGAAAUUGCCUUGAUGUGGGGGAUAACCAUUGGAAACGAUGGCUAAUACCGCAUAAUGCCUACGGGCCAAAGAGGGGGAUCUUCGGACCUCUCGCGUCAAGAUAUGCCUAGGUGGGAUUAGCUAGUUGGUGAGGUAAUGGCUCACCAAGGCGACGAUCCCUAGCUGGUCUGAGAGGAUGAUCAGCCACACUGGAACUGAGACACGGUCCAGACUCCUACGGGAGGCAGCAGUGGGGAAUAUUGCACAAUGGGCGAAAGCCUGAUGCAGCCAUGCCGCGUGUAUGAAGAAGGCCUUCGGGUUGUAAAGUACUUUCAGUUGUGAGGAAGGGUGUGUAGUUAAUAGCUGCGCAUCUUGACGUUAGCAACAGAAGAAGCACCGGCUAACUCCGUGCCAGCAGCCGCGGUAAUACGGAGGGUGCGAGCGUUAAUCGGAAUUACUGGGCGUAAAGCGCAUGCAGGUGGUUCAUUAAGUCAGAUGUGAAAGCCCGGGGCUCAACCUCGGAACUGCAUUUGAAACUGGUGAACUAGAGUACAAGAGAGGGGUGUGGAAUUUCCUGUGUAGCGGUGAAAUGCGUAGAUAUAGGAAGGAACACCAGUGG
This 692-nucleotide ribosomal RNA is filed under the name uncultured bacterium. Its description in RNAcentral is "bacterial SSU rRNA". It matches the Rfam family "Bacterial small subunit ribosomal RNA", at positions 44 to 715 of the family's 1533-position model. The record is from RNAcentral.